This 465-nucleotide ribosomal RNA is filed under the name uncultured bacterium. RNAcentral's name for it is "partial 16S ribosomal RNA". It matches the Rfam family "Bacterial small subunit ribosomal RNA", at positions 28 to 507 of the family's 1533-position model. The record is from RNAcentral.
GACGAACGCUGGCGGCGUGCUUAACACAUGCAAGUCGAACGGAAAGGCCCUGCUUGCCGGGUACUCGAGUGGCGAACGGGUGAGUAACACGUGGGUGAUCUGCCCUGCACUUCGGGAUAAGCCUGGGAAACUGGGUCUAAUACCGGAUAGGAGCCAUUUUUAGUGUGAUGGUUGGAAAGUUUUUUCGGUGUAGGAUGAGCUCGCGGCCUAUCAGCUUGUUGGUGGGGUAAUGGCCUACCAAGGCGGCGACGGGUAGCCGGCCUGAGAGGGUGGACGGCCACAUUGGGACUGAGAUACGGCCCAGACUCCUACGGGAGGCAGCAGUGGGGAAUAUUGCACAAUGGGCGCAAGCCUGAUGCAGCGACGCCGCGGGGGGGAUGACGGCCUUCGGGUUGUAAACUCCUUUCGCCAGGGACGAAGCUUUUUGUGACGGUACCUAGAGAAGAAGCACCGGCUAACUACGUG